This is a long non-coding RNA of Xenia sp. Carnegie-2017, 273 nucleotides long. RefSeq lists it as uncharacterized. The record is from RefSeq and is a predicted model, not a curated record. The transcript is spliced from 2 exons. NCBI's taxonomy places the organism in Eukaryota, Metazoa, Cnidaria, Anthozoa, Malacalcyonacea, Xeniidae.
CGGGUACAAAACGUCGGCUGGUAGUCGUGGAAGAUACGUACGUUGUACUUUGGUCGAUUAACUUAUGUUAUUGUGUCAUUGGUAAUAUCGAUAAUAUUUUCUGAUUUGUGAUUUUCUUACUGGUAAUGUUAAAAGAUGCCAAGGACAAAUAAAAGGUUUAAAGCAACUGUAGCUGUCACAUAUCAUGAUGAGGAUGGCCAUGUUGAGAGAGAGGAGGUGGAUUUGUCAGAAUUGGUUACUGAGGAUCAUAGAGGAAGCUGUUCUAUUAACAGU